Molecule: ribosomal RNA, 253 nt
Filed under: uncultured bacterium
Lineage: Bacteria
Description: partial 16S ribosomal RNA
Rfam family: Bacterial small subunit ribosomal RNA
Source: RNAcentral
UACGUAGGGACCGAGCGUUGUCCGGAUUCAUUGGGCGUAAAGAGCUCGUAGGCGGCCACUCAAGUCGAAUGUGAAACCUCGAGGCUUAACCUCGAGCCUGCAUUCGAUACUGGGCGGCUAGAGUCUGGUAGGGGGAUCUGGAAUUCCUGGUGUAGCGGUGGAAUGCGCAGAUAUCAGGAGGAACACCGGUGGCGAAGGCGGCCUACUGGUCCAUCACUGACGCUGAGAUGCGAAAGCGUGGGGAGCAAACAGG